AGAGUUUGAUCAUGGCUCAGAUUGAACGCCGGCGGCAUGCCUUACACAUGCAAGUCGAACGGUGACAGGUCUUCGGAUGCUGACGAGUGGCGAACGGGUGAGUAAUACAUCGGAACGUGCCCGAUCGUGGGGGAUAACGAAGCGAAAGCUUUGCUAAUACCGCAUAAGAUCUACGGAUGAAAGCAGGGAACCGCAAGGCCUUGCGCGAACGGAGCGGCCGAUGGCAGAUUAGGUAGUUGGUGGGAUAAAAGCUUACCAAGCCGACGAUCUGUAGCUGGUCUGAGAGGACGACCAGCCACACUGGGGCUGAGACACGGCCCAGACUCCUACGGGAGGCAGCAGUGGGGAAUUUUGGACAAUGGGCGAAAGCCUGAUCCAGCCAUGCCGCGUGCAGGAUGAAGGCCUUCGGGUUGUAAACUGCUUUUGUACGGAACGAAAAGACUCUGGUUAAUACCUGGGGUCCAUGACGGUACCGUAAGAAUAAGCACCGGCUAACUACGUGCCAGCAGCCGCGGUAAUACGUAGGGUGCAAGCGUUAAUCGGAAUUACUGGGCGUAAAGCGUGCGCAGGCGGUUAUAUAAGACAGAUGUGAAAUCCCCGGGCUCAACCUGGGAACUGCAUUUGUGACUGUAUAGCUAGAGUACGGCAGAGGGGGAUGGGAAUUCCGCGUGUAGCAGUGA
Molecule: ribosomal RNA, 680 nt
Filed under: uncultured soil bacterium
Lineage: Bacteria
Description: bacterial SSU rRNA
Rfam family: Bacterial small subunit ribosomal RNA
Source: RNAcentral